AACGCACAUUGCGCCCUUUGGCAUUCCGAGGGGCAUGCCCGUUCGAGCGUCAUUAACACCACUCAAGCCUAGCUUGGUAUUGGGCGUCGGGGACUUCCCCGCGCCUCCAUAUCGCCGGCUGGCCGUCGUCUGACUUAGCGUUGUGACACAUGUCGCUGAAGAAGACGUCGGAUCACGCCGUUAAACUCCUUGAAUGUUCAUUGAAUAUUCCAGUACAGGUUGACCUCGGAUCGGGUAGGAAUACCCGCUGAACUUAA
RNAcentral lists this unclassified non-coding RNA (257 nucleotides) under uncultured fungus. Its description in RNAcentral is "partial contains 5.8S ribosomal RNA, internal transcribed spacer 2, and large subunit ribosomal RNA". Lineage: Eukaryota; Fungi. The record is from RNAcentral.